GAAAGUAAAGAAGGGCGCAUGGCGGAUGCCUUGGCUCUCGGAGGCGAUGAAGGACGUGAUAAGCUGCGAUAAGCUUUGGGGAGGUGCAAAUGACCUUUGAUCCAGAGAUUUCCGAAUGGGACAACCCAAUAUCUUGAAGAGGUAUUAUCCAACGUUGUUGGAGGCUAACGCAGGGAACUGAAACAUCUUAGUACCUGCAGGAAAAGAAAAUAAACAAUGAUUCCCCCAGUAGUGGCGAGCGAACGGGGAACAGCCCAAACCAUCCAUGUUACGGCAUGUGUGGGGUUGUAGGACUACGCCGUUGCAUGAAGACAUCAGAGAAGAACUUUCUGGAAAGAAAGACCAUAGAGCAUGACAGUUGCGUAUUCGAAUGUUGUCGAAGCAUAGUAGUAUCCUGAGUAGCGCGGAGCACGAGGAAUUCUGCGUGAAUCUGCCGGGACCAUCCGGUAAGGCUAAAUACUCCCGAGAGACCGAUAGCGAACCAGUACCGUGAGGGAAAGGUGAAAAGCACUUCGAACAGAAGAGUGAAAUAGUUCCUGAAACCGUGCGCCUACAAGCGGUCGGAGCUGCUUAAAGCAGUGACGGCGUGCCUUUUGCAUAAUGAACCUACGAGUUGCCUUUGCCGGCAAGGUUAAGUGUGACGACACACGUAUCCGAAGCGAAAGCGAGUCUGAAGAGGGCGUAUAGUCGGCAGUGGCAGACGCGAAACCAAGUGAUCUACCCUUGGCCAGGUUGAAGGCUGGGUAACACCAGCUGGAGGACCGCACCAAUAAGCGUUGAAAAGCUUCUGGAUGAGCUGAGGGUAGGGGUGAAAGGCUAAUCAAACUUGGAGAUAGCUCGUACUCCCCGAAAUGCAUUUAGGUGCAGCCUUGUGGGUUACUGAUGUGAGGUAGAGCGACUGAUAAGAUGCGAGGGCUUCACCGCCUAUCAAGUCUUGACAAACUCCGAAUGCGCAUCAGUUUUACCUCAGGAGUGAGGGCAUGGGUGCUAAGGUCCGUGCCCGAGAGGAGAAGAAUCCGGACCACCUGCUAAGGUCCCGAAAUGACAGCUAAGUUAAACUAACGAAGUCUGACUGCUAAGACAGCUAGGAUGUUGGCUUGGAAGCAGCCAUUCAUUUAAAGAGUGCGUAACAGCUCACUAGUCGAGGAGUCUGGCGUGGAUAAUAAUCGGGUAUUAAGUUGUCUACCGAAGCAGUGGGAUCAUUGAAAUGAUCGGUAGGGGAGCAUUCCAGUCAGCGUCGAAGGCGUACCGCGAGGUAUUCUGGAGCGUCUGGAAAAGCAAAUGUAGGUAUAAGUAACGAUAAAGGGGGCGGGAAACCCCCUCGCCGAAAGACUAAGGUUUCCUGAUCAACGCUAAUCGGAUCAGGGUAAGUCGGGUCCUAAGGCUCAGCCGAAGGGCGAUGCCGAUGGCAGAAACGGUUAAUAUUCCGUUACUACCUCCAGGAGUGAUGUGGAGACGCAGUAGUGACAAUGCCGCCAUCUGACGGAAUAGAUGGUUGAAGGGUGUAGAUGUUGAUCUUGGCAGGCAAAUCCACCAUGAGAAUCGAACCUGAUAGUAUGCCGCGUCCCUCGGGACAAGGCAAUAGUGCAUGUAAUCAUGCUGCCAAGAAAAUCCGCUAAACUAAAUCCUGUAGGUACCCGUACCGUAAACGGACACACGUAGUCGGGAUGAAUAUUCUAAGGCGCUUGAGUGAUUCACGGUUAAGGAACUAGGCAAACUGACCCUGUAACUUCGGGAUAAAGGGUCCCUACCCGGUGACGGGAGGGCGCAGAGAAUAGGUCCAGGCAACUGUUUAACAAAAACACAGGGCUGUGCUAAAUCGAAAGAUCCUGUAUACAGCCUGACACCUGCCCGGUGCUGGAAGGUUAAGAGGAGACGUCAUCGUUGAGAGAAGCGUUGAAUUGAAGCCCCAGUAAACGGCGGCCGUAACUAUAACGGUCCUAAGGUAGCGAAAUUCCUUGUCGGGUAAGUUC
This 1973-nucleotide ribosomal RNA is filed under the name human gut metagenome. RNAcentral describes it as "bacterial LSU rRNA". It matches the Rfam family "Bacterial large subunit ribosomal RNA", at positions 1 to 1983 of the family's 2925-position model. The record is from RNAcentral.